This 101-nucleotide small nuclear RNA is filed under the name Pteropus alecto (black flying fox). Lineage: Eukaryota; Metazoa; Chordata; Mammalia; Chiroptera; Pteropodidae. The record is from RNAcentral.
GAGUCUUCAGCAGCACAUAUACUAAAAUUGGAACGAUACAGAGAUUAGCAUGGCCCCUGCACAAGGAUGACACGCAAAUUCAUGAAGCGUUCCAUAUGUUU